Long non-coding RNA from Phascolarctos cinereus (koala), 738 nucleotides. RefSeq lists it as uncharacterized. The record is from RefSeq and is a predicted model, not a curated record. NCBI's taxonomy places the organism in Eukaryota, Metazoa, Chordata, Mammalia, Diprotodontia, Phascolarctidae.
CAGAGUUCAUCAGUUCUCCUUCUGGAAGUCGAUAAUAUUUUUCAUCACAAGUCCUUUGGGAUUGUCUUGGAUCAAAGUUGCCAACUUCUUCAAAGCUGAUCGUCAUUACAACAUGUGGCAUGACCUUUGUGAGAAAUGAAUAUUUCUUAUAUUUAAUAACUAUUGUAUUAGGACCAAGGUUUUUCCCCUGUUUUACUUCCUCAUCCAGAAAUCAACCAGUGUGGGAAAUCCCUUGGUAGAGAAUUACCCAGGCCAAAAUCUAACCAGACAGUAAAAGAAAUUCUGAGUUUGGGCUAAUAGGUGUAUUCUUGCCAUUGUGUUUGCUCAGACAAGUCCGGGGAAAGAUUGAGUCUCCAUGUGAUCAAGACAGGCCUGCAUCACUGGGAAGCUGGAUCGCUUCUACUUGUUGCUGAGAGACCCUUAACUAAAGACUUAGGCUGUGCUGAAAUCUGGUGGGAUCCAAAGAUUGAAACAAGGCGUUUUCUCACAGUUACACGUCAGGCAACUCCUGUGGCUUAUCUGAAAACUGGACUGGUACCGAUCAAUCAGUUAUUGCUUCUACAUUCCUUUUAUUGUUCACAGACACUUGUUCUGAUUUCAGGAAAUCAGGCCUAUUCACUCUCCCCCUCCUCCAAUGAGAAACCAAAUUGCUGAAUUUUGUAUUCUGGUUGUUUUCUUUUAAUUAAUUGGCCUGUUUGAUAAUUGUUUUAAAUGAAUAAAAGUCUACCUCUCUCUGUA